Long non-coding RNA from Carcharodon carcharias (great white shark), 1280 nucleotides. RefSeq lists it as uncharacterized. The record is from RefSeq and is a predicted model, not a curated record. NCBI's taxonomy places the organism in Eukaryota, Metazoa, Chordata, Chondrichthyes, Lamniformes, Lamnidae. The transcript has 5 exons.
GUGGGGGAGGGAGAAUUACUGCGGAUUGACUGAUGGCAGCAGCAGAAUGCAGAAGAUUGUGAAUGAUCAGUGGAGCAGUAUUGACUGACAGCUUCCUUCCAAACCAUGUUCCCCCUUCCUUACUCUUCUAACGGGAAAAAAACGUUGAUAUAUUUUAAAAUGUAGAAAAUCAAUGUAACGCAUCGUAUCAGCUUGUAAUUAAAUGCAACGCCAGCUCCGUGCAUUCUUUGUGUGUGUGUGUGUAUCAAGGAUCUUAAAGCAAUUGGUUACGUUUAGCACGCCGUGUGAUUUUUUUUUCUCUUUUCCUGAUUUUGUUCACAGUGUGUGACUCAUUGUUUUAAACACUUGGAUGCAGCAGUAGCUGUAAUGUGAUUAGCCCCCCGAAGGCUGAACUUGCUUGCAAAAAGCCAUUGGGCUGAUCGCAGAGGCGAAUGCUAACUCGGAUCCAGCUGGGGUCACAGCAGAAGUGGCUCUGCCACUCUCUACAGGAUUCAGCGGCUGCCGCGACACACAACCAUCACUCUUACGCGCAAAACACACACGGAGUACUUACUGGGACACAAGCGGCUCAUAAAACAGAGUAAAGUGUAACUGCGAAACACUGGCGAUUAAAUGGAACAACUGCUUGAGCGAAUCGUUGCAAUGGAGAAUUUGCCGAGACGUUUCUCAAGGGCAUCCUGGAGAUUUAUUUUUCAAUCUCAACAUGAACACACGAGCAAGACAGAUCAAGCUAAUCUCCUCCCAGCCCUCUCGCACCCUGUUAUUUAUUUGCUAAAGGGUUGCACAUUAUCGGUGAAGGUGCCAAUUGACUCUUCGGGACUGGGGAAUUUCACGUCGGCCAAAAUAACAUUGUGAACUUUUUUUAAAAAAAAACUCCGAACUAAAAGGCAGCGAGGAGCUGGGUGUUUGAGCGCGGGAGUGGUAGUCUCUGGGGCUCACCACUCCAUUACUCCCACUGUCAAGCACAACAAAUGGGGCUCGGCUCAUUAAAAGACAGACCAUCAGUUCACACAGUCGGCAAGGAGUUGAUGCUGAACUGUUGUGUUCCUAUCGGGGCUGCACGAAACAGACCUGCGUCCUUAAUGAAUGCAGCCCUGUAUAAUUAAAUAAUUGACUGUUCCCCGGAGGAGCUAUUCGCCGCAUCUGUUCGCUGACUCCACAGGGGAUCCUAGACAAUACAGGACAAGCAGAGACUGAAGGAGGCAUCCCGGCACAUAGUUGGUUGUUUCAUCAGAUGCUCUUUAGGCAAACGCCUUCUGCUGUCAAACAAGGUGGUGGGA